UACAGGGGGUGCAAACGUUGCUCGGAAUCAUUGGGCGUAAAGCGCACGUAGGCGGUCUGUUAUGUCGGAUGUGAAAGCCCUUGGCUUAACUGAGGAAGUGCAUCCGAAACUGGCAGGCUAGAGUACUAAAGAGGGUCGCGGAAUUCCCGGUGUAGAGGUGAAAUUCGUAGAUAUCGGGAGGAACACCAAUGGCGAAGGCAGCUCGCUGGGACGUUACUGACGCUGAGACGCGAAAGCGUGGGGAGCAAACAGG
RNAcentral lists this ribosomal RNA (253 nucleotides) under uncultured bacterium. Its description in RNAcentral is "partial 16S ribosomal RNA". It matches the Rfam family "Bacterial small subunit ribosomal RNA", at positions 524 to 776 of the family's 1533-position model. The record is from RNAcentral.